This 324-nucleotide ribosomal RNA is filed under the name uncultured bacterium. RNAcentral's name for it is "bacterial SSU rRNA". It matches the Rfam family "Bacterial small subunit ribosomal RNA", at positions 28 to 334 of the family's 1533-position model. The record is from RNAcentral.
GAUGAACGCUGGCGGCGUGCUUAACACAUGCAAGUCGAACGAAGCGCUUAAACGGAUUUCUUCGGAAUGAAGUUUUUGCGACUGAGUGGGCGGACGGGUGAGUAACGCGUGGGUAACCUGCCUCAUACAGGGGGAUAACAGUUAGAAAUGACUGCUAAUACCGCAUAAGCGCACAGUGCUGCAUGGCACAGUGUGAAAACUCCGGUGGUAUGAGAUGGACCCGCGUCUGAUUAGCUAGUUGGUGGGGUAACGGCCUACCAAGGCGACGAUCAGUAGCCGGCCUGAGAGGGUGAACGGCCACAUUGGGACUGAGACACGGCCCAA